This 395-nucleotide unclassified non-coding RNA is filed under the name soil metagenome. Its description in RNAcentral is "partial contains 5.8S ribosomal RNA, internal transcribed spacer 2, and large subunit ribosomal RNA". The stretch from base 1 to 120 matches the Rfam family "5.8S ribosomal RNA", at positions 35 to 154 of the family's 154-position model. The record is from RNAcentral.
GAUGAAGAACGCAGCGAAAUGGGAUAAGUAAUGUGAAUUGCAGAAUUCAGUGAAUCAUCGAAUCUUUGAACGCACCUUGCGCCUUUUGGUAUUCCGAAAGGCACACCUGUUUGAGCGUCAUGAAUACCUCAAUCUCCAUCUUUUCUUCGGAUUGAUGGGUGACUUGGAUGUUGAGCCCUGCUGGUAUGCUAUAUCAGCUGGCUUUAAACUUAUUAGCCGGCUCUGUACUGGAUCGGUUUGACUCGACGUGAUAAUAUUAUCGUUGAGGAUGCAUGUCUCAUGCAGCCGGAAAGUAUCAAAGCAGCUUCUAGCUUGCCUUUAGUGCACUUUUACAUUUUAGACCUCAGAUCAGGCGGGACUACCCGCUGAACUUAAGCAUAUCAAUAAGCGGAGGA